UUCCCCCAGUAACGGCGAGCGAAGUGGGAAUAGCUCGAGCCUGAAAUCCCCGGCAUUCCAUGCCGGAGAAUUGUGGCCGGGAGAGGCAGCUGUGCCCGGACUGGUGCUGUCCAAGUUGACCUGGAAAGGCGCGCCAGAGAGGGUGAGAGCCCCGUGCGUGACACCGCCGGUCUGGGACGCUACUGUCUUCGGAGAGUCGGGUUGUUUGGGAUUGCAGCCCAAAGUGGGUGGUAAACUCCAUCUAAAGCUAAAUACUGGCACGAGACCGAUAGCGAACAAGUACCGUGAGGGAAAGGUGAAAAGUACUUUGAAAAGAGAGUCAAAAAGACCGCGAAACCGUUAGGAGGGAAACGAAUGCAGCUGAAGUGGUUCUCUGUCAGGCUCAGGAGAUGUCGGUGAGUCCUGCUCGGUAUCAGGAGCUGAUGAGGCCCUGGUGCCCUGCUGGGGCUUCCGUCUACUCUGCAAUUCUGCGGGGAGCCGGCCAACGGCAGUUGCUCCCGGCUCAGGAGGGCGUGUGGGGAGGUAGCUCUGUGCCUGCACAGAGAACGUAUAGCCCCGCGUCCUGGCAGUCUGGGAUCGACUGAGGAGAGUUGCGAAUCUUCGCACUGGCAGCGCAGGCCCCCAGGGGCUGGGUCGCUCUUGUCGGAGGGGAGGCCGCGGCGGUUCACUGCAUGCAGUGGCCGACGACGGUCUGCCUCCCCGGUGGGAGACCGAUCACACCUUGCGCUGUGGUUGUUGGUGUCCGAAUGGCUGCAUCCGACCCGUCUUGAAACACGGACCAAGGAGUGCAACAUGCGUGCGAGUCUUGGGGUGGCAAACCCAUUGGCGCAAUGAAAGUGAAGGCAGACGUCUUGGUCUGCUGAGGCGAGAGCCUCCCUUGCGGGGGCCCAUCGUCGACCGAUCCCAGGCUACGCCGUGGCGGGAUUUGAGUGAGAGCGUGCCUGUUGCGACCCGAAAGAUGGUGAACUAUGCCUGAAUAGGGCGAAGCCAGAGGAAACUCUGGUGGAAGCUCGCAGCGAUUCUGACGUGCAAAUCGAUCGUCAAAUUUGGGUAUAGGGGCG
Molecule: ribosomal RNA, 1061 nt
Filed under: Poecilosclerida sp. 3 JV-2020
Lineage: Eukaryota; Metazoa; Porifera; Demospongiae; Poecilosclerida
Description: partial large subunit ribosomal RNA
Rfam family: Eukaryotic large subunit ribosomal RNA
Source: RNAcentral